CCUACGGGAGGCAGCAGUGAGGAAUAUUGGUCAAUGGACGAGAGUCUGAACCAGCCAAGUAGCGUGAAGGAUGACUGCCCUAUGGGUUGUAAACUUCUUUUAUAUGGGAAUAAAAUGUUCCACGUGUGGGAUUUUGUAUGUACCAUAUGAAUAAGGAUCGGCUAACUCCGUUCCAGCAGCCGCGGUAAUACGGAGGAUCCGAGCGUUAUCCGGAUUUAUUGGGUUUAAAGGGAGCGUAGGUGGAUUGUUAAGUCAGUUGUGAAAGUUUGCGGCUCAACCGUAAAAUUGCAGUUGAAACUGGCAGUCUUGAGUACAGUAGAGGUGGGCGGAAUUCGUGGUGUAGCGGUGAAAUGCUUAGAUAGCACGAAGAACUCCGAUUGCGAAGGCAGUUCACUGGACUGCAACUGACACUGAGGCUCGAAAGUGUGGGUAUCAAACAGGAUUAGAUACCCCUGUAGUC
This 460-nucleotide ribosomal RNA is filed under the name uncultured bacterium. RNAcentral describes it as "partial 16S ribosomal RNA". It matches the Rfam family "Bacterial small subunit ribosomal RNA", at positions 338 to 795 of the family's 1533-position model. The record is from RNAcentral.